GUAUGGUGCAAGCGUUAUCCGGAUUUACUGGGCGUAAAGGGAGCGCAGGCGGUGCGGCAAGUCUGAUGUGAAAGCCCGGGGCUCAACCCCGGUACUGCAUUGGAAACUGUCGUACUAGAGUGUCGGAGGGGUAAGCGGAAUUCCUAGUGUAGCGGUGAAAUGCGUAGAUAUUAGGAGGAACACCAGUGGCGAAGGCGGCUUACUGGACGAUAACUGACGCUGAGGCUCGAAAGCGUGGGGAGCAAACAGGAUUAGAUACCCUGGUAGUCCACGCCAUAAACGAUGAAUACUAGGUGUUGGGAAGCAUUGCUUCUCGGUGCCGUCGCAAACGCAGUAAGUAUUCCACCUGGGGAGUACGUUCGCAAGAAUG
Molecule: ribosomal RNA, 370 nt
Filed under: uncultured bacterium
Lineage: Bacteria
Description: bacterial SSU rRNA
Rfam family: Bacterial small subunit ribosomal RNA
Source: RNAcentral